Molecule: ribosomal RNA, 630 nt
Filed under: uncultured bacterium
Lineage: Bacteria
Description: bacterial SSU rRNA
Rfam family: Bacterial small subunit ribosomal RNA
Source: RNAcentral
UAAAGGAAGCGAUUCCGGCUACGGAUGGUCAUGCGUCGCAUUAGCUAGUUGGCGGGGUAACGGCCCACCAAGGCGACGAUGCGUAGGGGUUCUGAGAGGAAGGUCCCCCACACUGGUACUGAGACACGGACCAGACUCCUACGGGAGGCAGCAGUGAGGAAUAUUGGUCAAUGGCCGCAGGGCUGAACCAGCCAAGUCGCGUGAGGGAUGACGGUCCUAUGGAUUGUAAACCUCUUUUGUCAGGGAGCAAAGGGCGCCACGUGUGGCGCUUUGCGAGUACCUGAAGAAAAAGCAUCGGCUAACUCCGUGCCAGCAGCCGCGGUAAUACGGAGGAUGCGAGCGUUAUCCGGAUUUAUUGGGUUUAAAGGGUGCGCAGGCGGAAUGUCAAGUCAGCGGUAAAAUUUCGGGGCUCAACCCCGUCGUGCCGUUGGAACUGGCGUUCUUGAGUGAGCGAGAAGUAUGCGGAAUGCGUGGUGUAGCGGUGAAAUGCAUAGAUAUCACGCAGAACUCCGAUUGCGAAGGCAGCAUACCGGCGCUCAACUGACGCUCAUGCACGAAAGCGUGGGUAUCGAACAGGAUUAGAUACCCUGGUAGUCCACGCAGUAAACGAUGAAUACUAACUGUCCGGGC